RNAcentral lists this unclassified non-coding RNA (250 nucleotides) under fungal sp. RNAcentral describes it as "partial internal transcribed spacer region". The stretch from base 1 to 46 matches the Rfam family "Eukaryotic small subunit ribosomal RNA", at positions 1786 to 1831 of the family's 1831-position model. The record is from RNAcentral. Lineage: Eukaryota; Fungi.
AAGUCGUAACAAGGUUUCCGUAGGUGAACCUGCGGAAGGAUCAUCAAUGAAUUUUCAAAUGAUGGCCUACAUCUUUGAAAUUGUCUAGCGAAUUUUAUUUGCUUGAUUGGAAUUGACGGAUUAUUGCCUAAUUCAGGCGAUAAUGAUAUUAAAGUCCAGGUUUUUAAAGUAAGGCGGUACUUUGACCAAAAAAAAUAUUUCAACUUUACCGACCAAAAAACAACUUUCGGCAACGGAUCUCUUGGUUCUG